This is a long non-coding RNA of Gasterosteus aculeatus aculeatus (three-spined stickleback), 468 nucleotides long. Lineage: Eukaryota; Metazoa; Chordata; Actinopteri; Perciformes; Gasterosteidae. The record is from Ensembl.
AGCAAGUAGGCUGGAAAUUGACCACCGGUGGUGGAAGGUCUGGUGAAGAAGAGGAGGAGGAGGAAUCAUCAGUGGGAAUCUGGCAGCCCUCAAGCAGCAGGAUCCCAAUCUAACAGGUUUGCUGACAGCUCUUCCUCCUCCUCCUCCUCUUCCUCCUCCAUGUAUCCUCCCAUUGUGUCUGUAUUGCAGCUGGCAGUCCAUCAUCCCGUUCUGGUCUACUGUCCCAGUCUAGUCUCCUUAGUGCGUGGAUGGAGUCGGGGAAGGGAGGGAAGACAAUCUGUGAAGAGAGAAAGGAGAAGUGGUCGGCAUGAUACGGCAGGAAGCGUGUACAUGUUUGCUUUAGGGAGGCAGAAAUGGUGUAGACAAGUUUAUAGACAUGUUCAUGUAGGAACAGAUGUUCUGAAGUGUUUGUGAAACGUUUGUCCUGGAAGACUCACCUGAUGAAGCAGCAUAUCCACCCAAUAACCC